This 446-nucleotide ribosomal RNA is filed under the name uncultured bacterium. RNAcentral describes it as "partial 16S ribosomal RNA". It matches the Rfam family "Bacterial small subunit ribosomal RNA", at positions 338 to 795 of the family's 1533-position model. The record is from RNAcentral.
CCUACGGGAGGCAGCAGUCGAGAAUCAUUCACAAUGGGGGAAACCCUGAUGGUGCGACGCCGCGUGGGGGAAUGAAGGUCUUCGGAUUGUAAACCCCUGUCAUGUGGGAGCAAAUUAAAAAGAUAGUACCACAAGAGGAAGAGACGGCUAACUCUGUGCCAGCAGCCGCGGUAAUACAGAGGUCUCAAGCGUUGUGCGGAAUCACUGGGCGUAAAGAGUGCGUAGGCUGUGUCGUAAGUCGUGUGUGAAAGGCGCGGGCUCAACCCUCGGACGGCACAUGAUACUGCGAGACUAGAGUAAUGGAGGGGGAACCGGAAUUCUCGGUGUAGCAGUGAAAUGCGUAGAUAUCGAGAGGAACACUCGUGGCGAAGGCGGGUUCCUGGACAUUAACUGACGCUGAGGCACGAAGGCCAGGGGAGCGAAAGGGAUUAGAUACCCGUGUAGUC